UACAGAGAGUGCGAGCGUUAAUCGGAAUUACUGGGCGUAAAGCGCACGUAGGUGGAUGUUUAAGUCGGAUGUGAAAUCCCUGGGCUUAACCUAGGAAUUGCAUUCGAUACUGGGCGUCUAGAGUAUAGUAGAGGGAAGUGGAAUUUCCGGUGUAGCGGUGAAAUGCGUAGAUAUCGGUAGGAACAUCAGUGGCGAAAGCGGCUUCCUGGACUAAUACUGCCACUUAGGUGCGUAAGCGUGGGGAGCAACCAGG
Molecule: ribosomal RNA, 253 nt
Filed under: uncultured bacterium
Lineage: Bacteria
Description: partial 16S ribosomal RNA
Rfam family: Bacterial small subunit ribosomal RNA
Source: RNAcentral